RNAcentral lists this transfer RNA (61 nucleotides) under Elgaria coerulea. RNAcentral's name for it is "tRNA-Ser". Lineage: Eukaryota; Metazoa; Chordata; Lepidosauria; Squamata; Anguidae. The record is from RNAcentral.
GAGAGAUAAGAUACAAGAACUGCUAAUUCAUGUACCUGAAGUUAAAACCUCAGAUCUCCCA